Molecule: ribosomal RNA, 301 nt
Filed under: uncultured bacterium
Lineage: Bacteria
Description: partial 16S ribosomal RNA
Rfam family: Bacterial small subunit ribosomal RNA
Source: RNAcentral
CAGUCGCCACGGUAAUACGUAGGUGGCAAGCGUUGUCCGGAAUUAUUGGGCGUAAAGGGCUCGCAGGCGGUUUCUUAAGUCUGAUGUGAAAGCCCCCGGCUCAACCGGGGAGGGUCAUUGGAAACUGGGAAACUUGAGUGCAGAAGAGGAGAGUGGAAUUCCACGUGUAGCGGUGAAAUGCGUAGAGAUGUGGAGGAACACCAGUGGCGAAGGCGACUCUCUGGUCUGUAACUGACGCUGAGGAGCGAAAGCGUGGGGAGCGAACAGGAUUAGAUACCCGAGUAGUCCCUGUCUCUUAUAA